RNAcentral lists this non-coding RNA (258 nucleotides) under Pan troglodytes (chimpanzee). The record is from RNAcentral. Lineage: Eukaryota; Metazoa; Chordata; Mammalia; Primates; Hominidae.
ACCGGACUAGAGUGGAUCCCCAUAAAAUGAGUGAAGCCAUAUUAUGAGUUAGAGACUACUGAAAAAGCCUCUCCUGAUGAUGAAGGACCUGUCAUUGGAGAAUCGACCAAAACUGACAGUGAUAACUUGGAAGGCACCUGACAUUACCUGGGGACAGCUAAAGAAACUGGACCAACAGGGAACUAUCUGGGAGCCCCUGCAACUGCAGAGAACCAGUUUCUUAUGUAUCUGAUGGUAAUUGGGGGAGCUUCUGAGAAG